GUGGGUGUAGCUCAGUGGUAGAGCACAUGCUUAGCAUGCACGAGGCCCUGGGUUCAAUCCCCAAUCCCUCCA
RNAcentral lists this transfer RNA (72 nucleotides) under Camelus bactrianus (Bactrian camel). It matches the Rfam family "tRNA". From Rfam's summary of the family: Transfer RNA (tRNA) molecules are approximately 80 nucleotides in length. Their secondary structure includes four short double-helical elements and three loops (D, anti-codon, and T loops). Further hydrogen bonds mediate the characteristic L-shaped molecular structure. tRNAs have two regions of fundamental functional importance: the anti-codon, which is responsible for specific mRNA codon recognition, and the 3' end, to which the tRNAs corresponding amino acid is attached (by aminoacyl-tRNA synthetases). tRNAs cope with the degeneracy of the genetic code in two manners: having more than one tRNA (with a specific anti-codon) for a particular amino acid; and 'wobble' base-pairing, i.e. permitting non-standard base-pairing at the 3rd anti-codon position. The record is from Rfam by way of RNAcentral. RNAcentral also lists the same sequence under 2 other names. Lineage: Eukaryota; Metazoa; Chordata; Mammalia; Artiodactyla; Camelidae.